RNAcentral lists this long non-coding RNA (281 nucleotides) under Brassica napus (rape). RNAcentral describes it as "long non-coding RNA (BNAP_LNC022745)". Lineage: Eukaryota; Viridiplantae; Streptophyta; Magnoliopsida; Brassicales; Brassicaceae. The record is from RNAcentral.
GCUUAAGCGCAGCUGUUAGGGUGAUGCGCUCCUGGUUUCAAGACUCAGUGUUGCUCACUUCCAAGCUUGGUCCUUCACUCAUUUUCUCCGGAUCAAGCUUGAGGAGGGGUAAUGGUGAGCAAUCCUGAAGGUCCAAGUCAUCUGUUGCCUCAGUUACCUCUAAAGGCAUUGGAGCAGAGACCAAGGGUGGAUCAGUUGGCUUAAGCGCAGGUGUUGGUACUGUUGUGCUCCUGGUUUAGGUUCAGUAUUGCUCACUUUCCAAGCUUGGUCCUUCACUUAUA